GCCUGAUUCAUUGACUUAAUAGCAGCAUUCUCCCUUAGAAAAAGGCAAGUACCUCCCUUUUUUUGGCAGUCAGUCUAGAGCUCAUUGGUUUGGGAGAACCACCUGAGCCAGUGAGGUGACCUGCCUCUGGAGGGAGGAGAGUGACUUCGCCGUAGCAUCGAGAGCCGCUUGAAGCUUUUUGUGAAGGCCAUCUUUAGUCCAGAUAGAGUGCCCUAUAGCUCCUCCUGAGACUCCAGCCACUGCUACAGUUGAAGCUACAGAGAGUCCUAUCAAAAUUGGCAGAAAGGCUGCACACUUGCUGCGUGGGGAAUUAGGGUGAGGGAGUAAGAGCUCAAACUCUGCGGUGCAACAUAAAUUAUCAACGGGCACAACAUCUUUGUUUGUAUGUGGUGCUGAGGAUCGAACCUGGGCCGCACGCAUGCCAGGCCUGCUGGAAUACGAGUGGUGAAAUGAUCUUGGUUUGUGAUGCCAUUACUGGUGUUGUAGUCCCAGAGGGGAUCUUGGUCUGGGACUGCUUAGGGCCCAGUGGGAUGUGCCGGAUUGGUCUGAUGGAUCUCGUCUGCAGGAGUGCAAGCCUGUUCUCUGCUCCUCAGGAAGUAAAGUAUCGGAGAGGAUCAUAUAGACAUCAUGGAAGGUGGGCAAAGAGGUUUGCCAAACCAUCUACGUUCAAAUCCUCCCGACACCACCAUUGGGUUUAGGACUCCAGGAAGGGGAAACUCACCAAUCGAAGGCUGGUGGUACUUGUAGUUCUGGCGGUCGAGAAAAUGGGUUCAGGUCAUCCAGUGAGGGGCUUCCAAAGGAAGAGGGACCCAAAAGUGGGUUUUAAUCCUCUUCCUGGGUUUUGGCACCAGAUGAAAGGAAAGUGACCACGACACUCAGAGCGACCAAGUAAUCUUUAUUACAGCAGUGAGAAAGAGGAGAAAGGAGAGAGAGAGAGAGAGAGAGAGAGAGAGAAAGCCCGGCAGGAGAAGGGUUUUAUAGUCCUUCUGCUGUGCUGCCUAAAUCUAAUAGGGUCUCUAGGUUUGCAAGCUGCCUUGUUGGCAUAAGGGGGGUUAAGUGUUCAGCCUUGGGUGGGGGAAUUGAGUGUUCAGCCUUAAGCAGGGGGCACUGAGUGUUCAGCCAUGAGCAGGGAUUGAGUGUUCAUCCUUGUGGGGGGUGGUGAUGAGCACUUGAGGCAAACAGGUGAUAAAGAACCAGACAGAGGGGGUUGAGUGCGUGGGUUAUCCUGCAGCUAUCAUUCGUUCAGCCUGGCCUGCAAACAAUGUUCAGCCUGCCCUAACAUGGACUUUGGCCUAACAUGGACUUUUGCCCUUUCCCAUUUCCUGGAAGAGAAAAGCAAAUAGUGAAGCUCUAGGUAACAAAGGGUCCCAGAGGAAGGAAGAUAAGCAGUGAACACCGAGUUCUGAGCUUUUCCCAGUGACAAUGAGUUUCAAACUUCUUACAACUGCCUUCCUGAGUUUAACCUGCACAACUAGGUCCCUGACUGUUUGAACAGCACGUCUGCAGUCUCUAAUGAUUAAUUCACCCUCACUGUAAACUAUAAAACUCAGACUCCUUCUGUAACCCGGGGGCCAUUUCCUUAACCAGAAAAUAAGCCCUCCUGUGCCUGACUGAUUCACUCUGCUGCAGGAUAAAGGAGAGCUUACUGAUCCACUUGAGGGCUGCUUAACGUCCUGGUUAUUUGUAUUUUCAUUAUUUUUGCUUACACCAUUAAGAAUUUUGUGCAGCAGAUUAAAACCAUUGCUAAGGUAGUGACGCCAAGCAAAGAGAGGGAGGGAGACCCUAAUUCACUGGCACCCACAGCUAGAGAAGCCUGAUGCUUCAGAGGGAGUGAGGCUCUUCCCCAAGCAUGAGUAUCUGCCCAGGCCCCAGAGGCACUGCAGCAGGGAGGCUGUGAGGAGCUGACCAAGAAACAGCUGAGGAACACCCACGGAAACAGACCAGAAAACUGCUUCACAGAGCAUUCAGAUAACAGAGUUCCCCUGUGCCAGCCAGAAGUUGGAAGGAGUUGAAUCAUCCAUCCUGGUCUCCUGACAGAUCUCUCUAGAAGGAAUGGUAUUGAAAUAGAGCUCUGAUUUUGAGCAGUCAGUGCAAGAAAUACGGGACUUAUAUAAACUUGUUAAACCCUAAAGUGAAUUCCCUCUUUACUCCAAAGCACCAGGCUCCUUCCUCUGUUGUUGGGUGUGAUCCACUGGAUUCUGAACAGUUGUGUUUGCAUUUGUCUCUUCUGAGAGACCGAGAGAUGCUAGAAAACUCAGUUUUCUUCAUCCCCAACACAUAGUUCAGCCCCAGGCAAGAAACAGGAUCUCAAUAAAUGACUAUUUGUAGGAAUAAAAGAACUGAUGAAAAUAGGUCAACAA
Molecule: long non-coding RNA, 2360 nt
Organism: Marmota monax (woodchuck)
Lineage: Eukaryota; Metazoa; Chordata; Mammalia; Rodentia; Sciuridae
Exons: 4
Source: RefSeq, a predicted model, not a curated record